This 426-nucleotide ribosomal RNA is filed under the name uncultured Acinetobacter sp. RNAcentral's name for it is "bacterial SSU rRNA". It matches the Rfam family "Bacterial small subunit ribosomal RNA", at positions 354 to 771 of the family's 1533-position model. Lineage: Bacteria; Pseudomonadati; Pseudomonadota; Gammaproteobacteria; Moraxellales; Moraxellaceae. The record is from RNAcentral.
GUGGGGAAUAUUGGACAAUGGGGGGAACCCUGAUCCAGCCAUGCCGCGUGUGUGAAGAAGGCCUUAUGGUUGUAAAGCACUUUAAGCGAGGAGGAGGCUACUUUAGUUAAUACCUAGAGAUAGUGGACGUUACUCGCAGAAUAAGCACCGGCUAACUCUGUGCCAGCAGCCGCGGUAAUACAGAGGGUGCGAGCGUUAAUCGGAUUUACUGGGCGUAAAGCGUGCGUAGGCGGCUUAUUAAGUCGGAUGUGAAAUCCCCGAGCUUAACUUGGGAAUUGCAUUCGAUACUGGUGAGCUAGAGUAUGGGAGAGGAUGGUAGAAUUCCAGGUGUAGCGGUGAAAUGCGUAGAGAUCUGGAGGAAUACCGAUGGCGAAGGCAGCCAUCUGGCCUAACACUGACGCUGAGGUACGAAAGCAUGGGGAGCAA